UACGGAGGGUGCGAGCGUUGUUCGGAAUCACUGGGCGUAAAGCGCGUGUAGGCGGCCCACUAAGUCUGAUGUGAAAGCCCGGGGCUCACCCCCGGAAGUGCAUUGGAAACUGGUGGACUCGAGUCCCGGAGAGGAGAGUGGAAUUGCCGUGGUCGUAGCGGUGAAAUGCGGUAGAUAUCAGGAGGAACACCUGUGGUGUAGACAGCUUACUGGGACCACUUCUGACCGCUGAGACACGAAAGCGUGGGUAGCAAACAGG
RNAcentral lists this ribosomal RNA (259 nucleotides) under uncultured bacterium. RNAcentral describes it as "partial 16S ribosomal RNA". It matches the Rfam family "Bacterial small subunit ribosomal RNA", at positions 524 to 776 of the family's 1533-position model. The record is from RNAcentral.